GAUGAACGCUGGCGGCGUGCCUAAUACAUGCAAGUCGAGCGAACGGACGCGGAGCUUGCUUCUCUGUUGUUAGCGGCGGACGGGUGAGUAACACGUGGAUAACCUCCCUAUAAUACUGGGAUAACUUCGGGACACCGGCGCUUAUCCCGGAUGAUAUUUUGACCCGCGUUGUUCAUAAGAGAAAGUCGGUGUUGCGGGCACGUAUAGAUGCAUCUCCGCUGCAUUAGCUAGUUGGUACGGUAACGGCUUACCAAGGCAACGAUGCGUAGCCGACCGGAGAGGGUGAUCGCCCACACUGGAACUGAGACACGGUCCAGAGUCCUACGGGAGGCAGCAGUAGGGAAUCUUCCGCAAUGGGCGAAAGCCUGACGGAACAGCCGCGCGUGAGUGAUGAAGGUCUUCGGAUCGUAAAACUCUGUUAUUAGGGAAGAACAGAUGUGGAAGGAACUGAGCACAUCUUGACGGUACCGAAUCAGAAAGCCACGGCUAACUACGUG
Molecule: ribosomal RNA, 497 nt
Filed under: uncultured bacterium
Lineage: Bacteria
Description: partial 16S ribosomal RNA
Rfam family: Bacterial small subunit ribosomal RNA
Source: RNAcentral